AUUGAACGCUGGCGGCAUGCCUUACACAUGCAAGUCGAACGGCAGCACGGGUGCUUGCACCUGGUGGCGAGUGGCGAACGGGUGAGUAAUACAUCGGAACGUACCUUAUCGUGGGGGAUAACGCAGCGAAAGCUGUGCUAAUACCGCAUACGCCCUGAGGGGGAAAGCGGGGGAUCACAAGACCUCGCGCGAUUAGAGCGGCCGAUGCCUGAUUAGCUUGUUGGUGGGGUAAAAGCCCACCAAGGCGACGAUCAGUAGCUGGUCUGAGAGGACGAUCAGACACACUGGGACUGAGACACGGCCCAGACUCCUACGGGAGGCAGCAGUGGGGAAUUUUGGACAAUGGGGGCAACCCUGAUCCAGCAAUGCCGCGUGAGUGAAGAAGGCCUUCGGGUUGUAAAGCUCUUUUGUCAGGGAAGUAACACCGGCUCUAACACAGUCCGGGAAUGACGGUACCUGAAGAAUAAGCACCGGCUAACUACGUGCCAGCCGCCGCGGUAA
RNAcentral lists this ribosomal RNA (501 nucleotides) under uncultured bacterium. RNAcentral's name for it is "partial 16S ribosomal RNA". It matches the Rfam family "Bacterial small subunit ribosomal RNA", at positions 30 to 523 of the family's 1533-position model. The record is from RNAcentral.